CUUGCUUUUGUAUGUAUAAUUGUAACACUGUCAGUGGUGAAGCUAGCCAAAGCAAACAGGUCAUGCUAUGCAAGUUUUUAAUGAUUUGCAUUAUUCAAAUAGAUGUAGGUUUAUUGGGGUGGCAUGACCGGUUGCCAUGGUAGCUAGCUUGCCACUGAAUACUGUACAAAAUCAUAUUAUAUAUAAACGAUAAUAAUAUUUGAAUGAAUCAUUGGACAUAUAGAAUUUAAUAACAAUUUCAUAUAUAGAAAUAUUAAGUCAGUUCUUGUCUGAAGUAUUGUUUUAAUACAAUAAUGGCACCUUCUAGGAUACCCUCUAUUGCAAAACAACUGAAAAAUCUUCUGAUGCCUGAUGGAGAGACAAAAUCUAUU
This is a non-coding RNA of Paramuricea clavata, 371 nucleotides long. NCBI's taxonomy places the organism in Eukaryota, Metazoa, Cnidaria, Anthozoa, Malacalcyonacea, Plexauridae. The record is from the annotation of a GenBank genome assembly.